ACACUGGCACUGAGACACGGGCCAGACUCCUACGGGAGGCAGCAGUGGGGAAUCUUGCACAAUGGGGGCAACCCUGAUGCAGCGACGCCGCGUGAGCGAUGAAGCCCUUCGGGGUGUAAAGCUCUUUCGGCAGGGACGACCCAAGACGGUACCUGCAGAAGCAGCUGCGGCUAACUACGUGCCAGCAGCCGCGGUAAUACGUAGGCAGCGAGCGUUGUUCGGAAUUACUGGGCGUAAAGGGUGUGUAGGCGGUUCUCUAAGUUUGGUGUGAAAUCUCCCGGCUUAACCGGGAGGGUGCGCCGGAAACUGGGGGACUAGAGUGCGGGAAGGGAGAGCGGAAUUCCUGGUGUAGCGGUGAAAUGCGUAGAUAUCAGGAGGAACACCGGUGGUGUAGACGGCUCUCUGGACCGUAACUGACGCUGAGACACGAAAGCGUGGGUAGCAAACAGGAUUAGAUACCCUGGUAGUCCACGCCCUAAACGAUGCAUAUUUGGUGUAGGUCAUUCAGUUGAUCUGUGCCGGAGCUAACGCGUUAAAUAUGCCGCCUGGGGUGUACAGUCGCAAGGCUGAAACUCAAAGGAAUUGACGGGGGCCCGCACAAGCGGUGGAGCAUGUGGUUCAAUUCGACGACACGCGAAGAACCUUACCUGGGCUCGAACGGCUUCUUAACGAGGGUGGAAACAUCCUUAUCCCGCAAGGGAGUGGAGUCGAGGUGCUGCAUGGCUGUCGUCAGCUCGUGUCGUGAGAUGUUGGGUUAAGUCCCGCAACGAGCGCAACCCUCGUCCUGUGUUGCCAUGCCGAAAGGCGGAACUCGCAGGAGACCGCCAGCGAUAAGCUGGAGGAAGGUGGGGAUGACGUCAAGUCCUCAUGGCCUUUAUGUCCAGGGCUACACACGUGCUACAAUGGCCGGUACAAAGCGUUCCCAAGCCGCGAGGUGGAGGCAAUCGCAGAAAGCCGGUCUCAGUUCGGAUUGCAGGCUGCAACUCGCCUGCAUGAAGCUGGAAUCGCUAGUAAUGGCGGAUCAGCAUGCCGCCGUGAAUACGUUCCCGGGCCUUGUACACACCGCCCGUCACAUCACGAAAGUGGGUUGUACUAGAAUCUCGCAGGCUGACCCGCAAGGGAGGCAGCGGUCCAAGGUAUGACUCAUGAUUGGGGUGAAGUCGAAACAAGGUAGCCGUAGGAGAACCUGCGGCUG
This 1195-nucleotide ribosomal RNA is filed under the name metagenome. RNAcentral's name for it is "bacterial SSU rRNA". It matches the Rfam family "Bacterial small subunit ribosomal RNA", at positions 310 to 1520 of the family's 1533-position model. The record is from RNAcentral.